This 413-nucleotide ribosomal RNA is filed under the name uncultured prokaryote. RNAcentral describes it as "bacterial SSU rRNA". It matches the Rfam family "Bacterial small subunit ribosomal RNA", at positions 505 to 918 of the family's 1533-position model. The record is from RNAcentral.
GUGUCAGCAGCCGCGGUAAGACGUAGGGGGCAAGCGUUGCUCGGAAUCACUGGGCUUAAAGGGCGCGUAGGCGGUUGUGUAAGUCCAGGGUUGAAGGCCCCGGCUCAACCGGGGAAAGGCCUUGGAGACUGCAUGACUUGAGUGAGCGAGGGGAGGGCGGAAUUCCUGGUGUAGCGGUGAAAUGCGUAGAUAUCAGGAGGAAGGCCUGUGGCGAAGGCGGCCCUCUGGCGCUCAACUGACGCUGAGGCGCGAAAGCGUGGGUAGCAAACAGGAUUAGAUACCCUGGUAGUCCACGCCCUAAACGGUGGGCACUAGGUGUGGGGCUCGAGAGGGUUCCGUGCCGAAGGGAAACCAAUAAGUGCCCCGCCUGGGGAGUACGGCCGCAAGGUUGAAACUUAAAUGAAUUGACGGGG